UGAACACAACCAUUUAUGGAAAGUCCUUGUAAGGAUUAGAGUUCCCAGGACUGAGUGUCGUCCAGUGCCUGGGGGUGGAUAGAGCGAGUUCCCCAUUCGGCUCCAGGACUCCAAUCAAGUCACGGCAGAAGUGCUGCGGUUUACCCUCUGCUCCAGUUAGGAAGCGGUCCUUGGCGGAGGUCACCAGCCAGGGGUACACUGAGCUCCGUUACAAUACUGUAUAAUAAGCUGUAGUGGUUCUGGUGACUAUAGUGUCCAUUUAUACAG
This is a non-coding RNA of Pelobates cultripes (western spadefoot toad), 267 nucleotides long. The record is from the annotation of a GenBank genome assembly. Lineage: Eukaryota; Metazoa; Chordata; Amphibia; Anura; Pelobatidae.